RNAcentral lists this ribosomal RNA (119 nucleotides) under Pteropus alecto (black flying fox). Lineage: Eukaryota; Metazoa; Chordata; Mammalia; Chiroptera; Pteropodidae. The record is from RNAcentral.
GUCUACGGCCAUGCCACCCUGAACAAGCCUGAUCCCGUCUGAUCUUGGAAGCUAAGCAGGGUCGGGCCUGGUUAGUACUUGGAUGGGAGAGCACCUAGGAAGACCAGAUGCUGUAGGUG